RNAcentral lists this ribosomal RNA (360 nucleotides) under uncultured bacterium. RNAcentral's name for it is "bacterial SSU rRNA". It matches the Rfam family "Bacterial small subunit ribosomal RNA", at positions 29 to 418 of the family's 1533-position model. The record is from RNAcentral.
AACGAACGCUGGCGGCAGGCCUAACACAUGCAAGUCGAACGCUCCGCAAGGGGAGUGGCGCACGGGUGAGUAACACGUGGGAACCUACCUUCUGGUACGGAACAACCAAGGGAAACUUUGGCUAAGACCGUAUACGACCUCCGGGUGAAAGAUUGAUCGCCGGAAGAGGGGCCCGCGUCCGAUUAGGUAGUUGGUGAGGUAACGGCUCACCAAGCCUUCGAUCGGUAGCUGGUCUGAGAGGAUGACCAGCCACACUGGGACUGAGACACGGCCCAGACUCCUACGGGAGGCAGCAGUGGGGAAUAUUGGACAAUGGGCGCAAGCCUGAUCCAACCAUGCCGCGUGAGUGAUGAAGGCCUU